UCCUACGGGCGGCAGCAGUAAGGAAUAUUGGACAAUGGCCGCAAGGCUGAUCCAGCCAUGCCGCGUGCAGGAAGACGGACCUAUGGUUUGUAAACUGCUUUUGAACUAGAGAAAACCCCCUUACGUGUAAGGGGCUGAUAGUAUAGUUAGAAUAAGCAUCGGCUAACUUCGUGCCAGCAGCCGCGGUAAGACGAAGGAUGCAAGCGUUAUCCGGAUUCAUUGGGUUUAAAGGGAGCGUAGGCGGACUUAUAAGUCAGUGGUGAAAUCUUUGGGCUUAACCCAGAAACUGCCAUUGAUACUGUAAGUCUAGAGUACAGUUGCCGUUGGCGGAAUAUGACAUGUAGUGGUGAAAUACUUAGAUAUGUCAUAGAACACCGAUUGCGAAGGCAGCUAACGAAGCUGUAACUGACGCUGAGGCUCGAAAGUGCGGGGAUCAAACAGGAUUAGAUACCCUGGUAGUC
RNAcentral lists this ribosomal RNA (461 nucleotides) under uncultured Sphingobacteriales bacterium. RNAcentral describes it as "bacterial SSU rRNA". It matches the Rfam family "Bacterial small subunit ribosomal RNA", at positions 337 to 795 of the family's 1533-position model. The record is from RNAcentral. Lineage: Bacteria; Pseudomonadati; Bacteroidota; Sphingobacteriia; Sphingobacteriales.